Molecule: non-coding RNA, 225 nt
Organism: Pelobates cultripes (western spadefoot toad)
Lineage: Eukaryota; Metazoa; Chordata; Amphibia; Anura; Pelobatidae
Source: the annotation of a GenBank genome assembly
ACUGUAUCAAAUGCCUUGGCAAAAUCCAAAUAGAUCACAUCCACUGCAACACCCUGAUCUAUAUUUCUACUUACUUCUUCGUAGAACGCAAUCAAGUUAAUUUGACAUGACCUGUGCUUCAUAAAACCAUGCUGAUGUAUGCUGAUAACCAUGUUCUUAUCAAGGAUUUCUUGAAUGUUAUCCCUUAAUAACUUUUCAAAAAUUUUCCCAGCCACAGAAGUUAAG